This 529-nucleotide ribosomal RNA is filed under the name uncultured bacterium. Its description in RNAcentral is "bacterial SSU rRNA". It matches the Rfam family "Bacterial small subunit ribosomal RNA", at positions 97 to 638 of the family's 1533-position model. The record is from RNAcentral.
GGCGAACGGGUGCGUAACACGUGAAGAACUUGUCCUUCGGCGGGGGAUAGCCGGCCCAACGGCCGGGUAAUACCGCGUACGCCGGCGAGAUCACAUGGUCUUGCCGGGAAAGCAGCAAUGCACCGAUGGAGAGCUUCGCGGCCUAUCAGCUAGUUGGCGGGGUAAUGGCCCACCAAGGCGACGACGGGUAGCUGGUCUGAGAGGAUGAUCAGCCACAUUGGGACUGAGACACGGCCCAGACUCCUACGGGAGGCAGCAGUGGGGAAUAUUGCGCAAUGGGCGAAAGCCUGACGCAGCGACGCCGCGUGUGGGAUGACGGCCUUCGGGUUGUAAACCACUGUCGCGAGGGACGAAACAAAUGACGGUACCUCGAAAGGAAGCACCGGCUAACUCUGUGCCAGCAGCCGCGGUAAUACAGAGGGUGCGAGCGUUGUCCGGAAUUACUGGGCGUAAAGGGCGCGCUAGGCGGCCUGAUAAGUAUGGGGUGAAAUCUCAAGGCUCAACCUUGAGGCUGCCUUGUAGACUGUCA